Molecule: non-coding RNA, 131 nt
Filed under: Solanum lycopersicum (tomato)
Lineage: Eukaryota; Viridiplantae; Streptophyta; Magnoliopsida; Solanales; Solanaceae
Description: Bacterial large subunit ribosomal RNA
Rfam family: Bacterial large subunit ribosomal RNA
Source: Rfam by way of RNAcentral
UACUAAGUGUAGCAAAUAUCUCAGAAAAGUGUUAUAAGCUUUGAAUGGAAGUCCCGGUAAACGGCGGCAGUAACUCUAACUGUCCUAAGAUAGCGAAAUUUCUUGUCGCAUAAAUAGUGACCUGCAUGAAU